GCCACGGUCGUCUAGUGGUUAGAACGCUGGCCUUGUAAUCCUGGGGUCUCGGGUUCGAUUCCCGGCGGUGCCC
RNAcentral lists this transfer RNA (73 nucleotides) under Zootermopsis nevadensis. It matches the Rfam family "tRNA". Rfam says of the family: Transfer RNA (tRNA) molecules are approximately 80 nucleotides in length. Their secondary structure includes four short double-helical elements and three loops (D, anti-codon, and T loops). Further hydrogen bonds mediate the characteristic L-shaped molecular structure. tRNAs have two regions of fundamental functional importance: the anti-codon, which is responsible for specific mRNA codon recognition, and the 3' end, to which the tRNAs corresponding amino acid is attached (by aminoacyl-tRNA synthetases). tRNAs cope with the degeneracy of the genetic code in two manners: having more than one tRNA (with a specific anti-codon) for a particular amino acid; and 'wobble' base-pairing, i.e. permitting non-standard base-pairing at the 3rd anti-codon position. The record is from Rfam by way of RNAcentral. Lineage: Eukaryota; Metazoa; Arthropoda; Insecta; Blattodea; Termopsidae.